CCUACGGGCGGCUGCAGUGGGGAAUAUUGGACAAUGGGGGGAACCCUGAUCCAGCCAUGCCGCGUGUGUGAAGAAGGCCCUCGGGUUGUAAAGCACUUUCAGUGAGGAAGAACGCCUGGUGGUUAAUACCCAUCAGGAAAGACAUCACUCACAGAAGAAGCACCGGCUAACUCCGUGCCAGCAGCCGCGGUAAUACGGAGGGUGCGAACGUUAAUCGGAAUUACUGGGCGUAAAGCGCGCGUAGGUGGCUUGAUAAGCCGGUUGUGAAAGCCCCGGGCUCAACCUGGGAACGGCAUCCGGAACUGUCAAGCUAGAGUGCAGGAGAGGAAGGUAGAAUUCCCGGUGUAGCGGUGAAAUGCGUAGAGAUCGGGAGGAAUACCAGUGGCGAAGGCGGCCUUCUGGACUGACACUGACACUGAGGUGCGAAAGCGUGGGUAGCAAACAGGAUUAGAUACCCGUGUAGUC
RNAcentral lists this ribosomal RNA (465 nucleotides) under Vreelandella stevensii. RNAcentral describes it as "partial 16S ribosomal RNA". It matches the Rfam family "Bacterial small subunit ribosomal RNA", at positions 338 to 795 of the family's 1533-position model. Lineage: Bacteria; Pseudomonadati; Pseudomonadota; Gammaproteobacteria; Oceanospirillales; Halomonadaceae. The record is from RNAcentral.